AUGCUUAUCCCUUAUUUAUACAUGGGAGACAAUUGUUACAGAAUCUAAACCAGGGUGUGCGGUGGCUACGAUAGGAAUAUGGGGACUCAUCGGUCGCAGUGGUUGUUGUGGUACUAGCGCGCGUGCGACGGGAUAGUUGAACCAGGAAGAGAUAUGGAUCUAAGUUACAAAAGUUUUCUUCAUGAAUGGAAAAUAGACACAAAAGUAAAAGGCAUUCUGGUUGAUGGGACGUUGAUCAUUUCCUUUUAGUAAGGUAUCAAGAACUAAACCAUCUGGUCCUAAUUUGGUUGAGUAAUGGCACUUAAGAUAGUGACUGCAUGUCAUCAUGGUGUGGUUUUCAUAUGGGAGAUAGGUGUUAGACUUAUGUUGAGCCAAGAGAAUCAUUGGAUGAUAUUGGUAGCUAAAUCGUAUUAGCUAACUUCAAGUGAUACCGAAGAUCAUCAGAGUCAGGUUAUAACAAUCGAGGAGGAGGAACUGAAACCGAACAAGAAGAAACUAAGACAACACAAAGAGCAAUAUUAGCAAUAGUUGCGUUGAUGACCUGACAUAGGAUGUUAGUUAAAACUUAUUCCCUACAUAUUAUUAGUUGAUUUAUCUAAUAUUGUUUUAUAUUUUAGAAUUGAUCAACCAAGUUAAUUAAUUUGUAUGUUUAAUU
This 655-nucleotide long non-coding RNA is filed under the name Helianthus annuus (common sunflower). RNAcentral's name for it is "sRNA HanXRQr2_Chr04g0174421". Lineage: Eukaryota; Viridiplantae; Streptophyta; Magnoliopsida; Asterales; Asteraceae. The record is from RNAcentral.